AGCUAAUAAAUAUGUCCGCCCAGGCUUCUCCAUCCUCGUCCUCCCCCCACCACCGCCGUGCAGAAUGCAGUUUUCAGAUGACGAACCGCUAAAACAAUCAUAAUUAGCGGCUGGAAACAGUUCAACUGUAAAAACCGCACACCGACUGAAGGUUGCUUGCCGGCUCCUUUCCAAAUUAACUUUAAAACCACUCUUCCCUCAACCAAAAUGGUUUCUGUAGAGCUUCGCCUUCUUCCAUCGCCACAACAGUGGCGCGACUUCUAAGAUUCGGCAGCUUCCGGAAGGACUCAGAACCACCUAUAACCCUAGCCGACAGUUCAGCAGGCUGAUCCACUUGGGGGCUAAUUGGAGAAACCAGUUGAUUGGUUGCUUCCGUGCUGCUUCUCUAAGGGCGCUUGCCCUUAAAGAAGCUGACCCAGAGGCCUUGGUGCUGCCGGCGUGGGGAUCCCCAGAUGGGAACGCCCCUUGAUGGAGGAUCUCGUGUGCCUAUUGGCUGUCCUGCCAAACUGCGGAGGGUGACAAGGAAGAAGGUGGCUCCAGAUCUGGAGGGCUGGCUCUCGCUCGCCAAGGCUCGCUACGCGAUGGGCGCCAAGUCGGUAGGGCCCCUGCAGUAUGCUUCCCACAUGGAGCCCCAGGUCUGCCUCCACGCCAGCGAGGCCCAGGAGGGACUCCAGAAGUUCAAGGUGGUGAGAGCUGGUGUCCACGCCCCAGAGGAGGUGGGGCCUCGCGAAGCAGGUCUGCGGAGGCGCAAGGGCCCCACUAAGACCCCAGAACCGGAGUCCUCUGAGGCCCCUCAGGACCCCCUGAACUGGUUUGGAAUCCUAGUUCCUCACAGUCUACGUCAGGCUCAAGCAAGCUUCCGGGAUGGUGUCCUGGAGGCCAAGAAGAGAAAGUGUUUCCUGGAGCGAGUGAUCCAAUGUGUGGUCAGCCCUGCUGCUGAACAGGAGGCCGAAGACGAGAGCUGCCCGGAGGACUGGGCAGCAGCUGUUCCAGCAGAGACAUCAGCAAAAGCCAUCUAGAGGUGGAUCCAGAGUGUGGACUAACAGAGAAAAGAAGUGGAGGGAGAGCAGGCCUGCAGCUGGCCGCAGACAUAGCCAGCCUCCAGAACCGCAUUGACUGGGGUCGAAGCCAGCUCCGGGGACUCCAAGAGAAACUCAAGCAGCUGGAGCCUGGGGCUGCCUGACAUGCGCGCAAAGAGGCAGGGCAGCGAGCACAGCUGUUCUCCGACAUGGCUACGUGAUCUCAGGCCUUCUUCCUUCACAAUUAGCUCUUGCCCCUACCCCACGCCAGCUAAUGCCCCUUCUGUGUCCCUGCUCUGCAUGUUUCCAUUUUCCUUAGGUGUGAAGUUUGAAGAGGCAAACAGUAAUUUUGAAAGCCACUACUUUGAAACCAUUCUAAGGCCUGAGUUCCCAUAGGACACACUCACAUAGGCAGGUACACGUUAGUCAACAAUUGGAACUGCCUCUUGGAUCACUCAGCUGUGCUUUCAUGGCUGGAUGAUGGAACACUGUGCGAAGAGAGAUGGGGGCCAGGAAGUAGCGCUUCAUGCUUAGUACAUCCUCCAAAUUGUCUUUGCUGGAGGAGAAAACCGUACUCAGCCAAAAGAUCAGGACAAUAUGACUUGAGUCCACAAGGACACAAACACCUGAGUAGCUGGGCAGCCCUUGGCAGGGUCUAAGCCAGGAAGUAAAAAUGAUCUGGCCUAGAUAUUUAAGGGAACUCUAGGAAGAGGCCUAGGUUUUUAAAAUCCUGUCUCUUUGUCUUACCAUAAGAGGCUGAGCCUCUCUUCAUUUUUUUGAAGGGCCACUUGUGUUUUCUGUUCUGGGAACUUCAUUCAUUUUUCUACUGGGUUGUUGAUCUUUGCAGUAAUUUCUAGGAGCUGUUUAUGUUUGGAGGUAAUUGGUCCUUUGUCCAUAUAUAUGAGAUGUAAGUCUUAUUUUCCAGUUUAUCUUUUUGCUUAUUUUUUUUGACUUUUUAUUGUAAAAUAAAACAUCAAACUGCACAGAACAGUUGAAUAGCUUAAUGAAUAACUACAGUAAAAGCUAUGGUAACCACUACCCAACUUUUGUGUUUUUUGAUCAUUAUUUGUACGUACAGUUGAAUGUAUCCAGCUGUCACAUGAUUCUGAAUUUGGGUUUGUAACUGAUAAGGCAAUCAGGGAAUUCUCCAGCAUUUUCAAGAACCUCUGUGGUUUCAGUUGAAAUGUCCAGUGAGUCAUGUCCAGCUUUUCCACCAUCCUCCCACGUGCUGUAUGUCGGUUAAUGCUGCCCUUUUGUUUUGCUAACUCCCAGUGUAAACCUAAUGUAAUUUGGGGGUUUUCAUUCUGUUUCGUGGACAUUACUGUCAAUACACCAGUACCACAUUGUUUUA
Molecule: RNA transcript, 2370 nt
Organism: Homo sapiens (human)
Lineage: Eukaryota; Metazoa; Chordata; Mammalia; Primates; Hominidae
Gene: VMA22
Gene name: vacuolar ATPase assembly factor VMA22
Exons: 6
Source: RefSeq, marked reviewed